This 356-nucleotide long non-coding RNA is filed under the name Populus trichocarpa (black cottonwood). Its description in RNAcentral is "long non-coding RNA (PTRI_LNC000730)". The record is from RNAcentral. Lineage: Eukaryota; Viridiplantae; Streptophyta; Magnoliopsida; Malpighiales; Salicaceae.
AGUACGAUAAGCCUGAAGCAGUGGCAUGGGAACUUCCUUUCAGAAGGACUGAUUCGGAAGAGAGGAAAGAUGGACUUGCAUCGUAUUAGAAUAUAAGGAAGAAUUGCUUGUACUUACUGCUUGCUUACAUGCUUACUCGGAACUGAACUAUCCUGACAUAGGUCCCCGAGACUUUCCGACGACACACGGUUCUUUUUCGGUUCCCUGGAUUAGAAAGUCUUGAACCCUUACGUCUUUACUCAGAGAAGUCACUCGUGGAGCGAUUUACCACUCACGACAGUGAGCAGUGACCUCAAAGAGAUUAGCCACCUUACGUACGAUUUCCAGCUUUGCUUUGGGUUCACCCGUGGCUUUCU